RNAcentral lists this ribosomal RNA (555 nucleotides) under uncultured bacterium. RNAcentral describes it as "bacterial SSU rRNA". It matches the Rfam family "Bacterial small subunit ribosomal RNA", at positions 9 to 578 of the family's 1533-position model. The record is from RNAcentral.
GAGUUUGAUCAUGGCUCAGAAUCAACGCUGGCGGCGUGCCUCAGACAUGCAAGUCGAACGAUUAAAGCUCCCUUCGGGGAGUGCAUAGAGUGGCGCACGGGUGAGUAACACGUGAGUAAUCUACCCUCGAGUGGGGAAUAACGUCCGGAAACGGACGCUAAUACCGCAUAAUGCAGCGGCACCGCAAGGUGACAGUUGUUAAAGAUUUAUCGCUUGAGGAGGAGCUUGCGGCAGAUUAGCUAGUUGGUAAGGUAAUGGCUUACCAAGGCUACGAUCUGUAUCCGGUCUAAGGGGACGGUCGGACACACUGACACUGAAUAACGGGUCAGACUCCUACGGGAGGCAGCAGUCGAGAAUUUUGGGCAAUGGGCGAAAGCCUGACCCAGCAACGCCGCGUGAAGGAUGAAGUAUUUCGGUAUGUAAACUUCGAAAGAAUGGGAAGAAUAAAUGACGGUACCAUUUAUAAGCUCCGGCUAACUACGUGCCAGCAGCCGCGGUAAUACGUAGGGAGCAAGCGUUGUUCGGAUUUACUGGGCGUAAAGGGCGCGUAGGCGG